CAGGGAAUAUUGCGCAAUGGACGGAAGUCUGACGCAGCGACGCCGCGUGGAUGAUGAAGGCCUUCGGGUUGUAAAAUCCUUUUCAGGGGGAAGAGCGAGGACGGUACCCCUGGAGUAAGCGUCGGCUAACUACGUGCCAGCAGCCGCGGUAAGACGUAGGACGCGAGCGUUAUCCGGAUUUACUGGGCGUAAAGCGUCUGUAGGCGGAAGUGUAAGUUGGACGUGAAAGCUCCGGGCUCAACUCGGAGAGGCCGUUCAAUACUGCACAACUAGAGGCCAUCAGAGGGGCGUGGAAUUUCCGGUGUAGCGGUAAAAUGCGCAGAUAUCGGAAGGAACACCAGUGGCGAAGGCGGCGCCCUGGGGUGGGCCUGACGCUAAGAGACGAAAGCUAGGGGAGCGAACAG
This 404-nucleotide ribosomal RNA is filed under the name uncultured bacterium. Its description in RNAcentral is "bacterial SSU rRNA". It matches the Rfam family "Bacterial small subunit ribosomal RNA", at positions 355 to 775 of the family's 1533-position model. The record is from RNAcentral.